This is a non-coding RNA of Parelaphostrongylus tenuis, 74 nucleotides long. Lineage: Eukaryota; Metazoa; Nematoda; Chromadorea; Rhabditida; Metastrongylidae. The record is from the annotation of a GenBank genome assembly.
GCGUCGGUGGUGUAGUGGUAGUAGCACGCGUCCCCGGUAUGGAUUAAACGCGGGUCCGAUUCCCGUCUGAGGCC